Molecule: ribosomal RNA, 460 nt
Filed under: uncultured bacterium
Lineage: Bacteria
Description: partial 16S ribosomal RNA
Rfam family: Bacterial small subunit ribosomal RNA
Source: RNAcentral
CCUACGGGGGGCAGCAGUGAGGAAUAUUGGUCAAUGGACGAGAGUCUGAACCAGCCAAGUAGCGUGAAGGAUGACUGCCCUAUGGGUUGUAAACUUCUUUUAUAAAGGAAUAAAACGAGGCACGUGUGCCUUUUUGCAUGUACUUUAUGAAUAAGGAUCGGCUAACUUCGUGCCAGCCGCCGCGGUAAUACGGAGGAUCCGAGCGUUAUCCGGAUUUAUUGGGUUUAAAGGGAGCGUAGAUGGGUUGUUAAGUCAGUUGUGAAAGUUUGCGGCUCAACCGUAAGAGUGCAAUUGAUACUGGCAGUCUUGAGUACAGUUGAGGUAGGCGGAAUGCGUGGUGUAGCGGUGAAAUGCUUAGAUAUCACGAAGAACCCCGAUUGCGAAGGCAGCCUGCCAGGCCAUGACUGACGCUGAUGCACGAAAGCGUGGGUAUCAAACAGGAUUAGAUACCCUGGUAGUC